UGAGUGGCGGACGGGUGAGUAACACGUGGGUUAUCUGCCUCAAAGUGGGGUAUAACUACCCGAAAGGGUAGCUAAUCCCGCAUGUGGUCCGACUCGUGAAGAGUGGGAAGAAAGGCCCUUCGGGGUCGCUUUGAGAUGAGCCCGCGGCCGAUUAGCUAGUUGGUGGGGUAAAGGCCUACCAAGGCAACCAUCGGUAGCUGGUCUGAGAGGAUGAUCAGCCACACUGGGAUUGACAACGGCCCAGACUCCUACGGGAGGCAGCAGUAAGGAAUAUUGCACAAUGGGGGAAACCCUGAUGCAGCAACGCCGCGUGGGUGAAGAAGGCCUUCGGGUUGUAAAACCCUUUUCCGGGGGAUGAGGAAGGACAGUACCCCGGGAAUAAGCCUCGGCUAACUACGUGCCAGCAGCCGCGGUAAGACGUAGGAGGCAAGCGUUAUCCGGAUUUACUGGGCGUAAAGGGCAAGUAGGCGGUUGCCAAAGUUGGGCGUGACAUCUCCUGGCUUAACUAGGAGGGGCCGUCCAAUACUGGGUGACUUGAGGACAGAAGAGGGAAGUGGAACUCCCAAUGUAGCGGUGGAAUGCUCAGAUAUUGGGAAGAACACCAGUGGCGAAGGCGGCUUCCUGGUCUGAUCCUGACGCUGAGAGGCGAAAGCUAGGGUAGCAAACGGGCUUAGAUACCCCGGUAGUCCUAGCUGUAAACGGUGGAUACUGGGUAUCGGCGGAUAAUACCGUCGGUGCCGAAGCUAACGCGUUAAGUAUCCCGCCUGGGGACUACGACCGCAAGGUUAAAACUCAAAGGAAUUGACGGGGACCCGCACAAGCAGCGGAGCGUGUGGUUUAAUUCGAUGCUACACGAAGAACCUUACCUGGGCUUGACAUGCACGUCGUAGGGAACCGAAAGGGGACCGAUCCUUCGGGAAGCGUGCACAGGUGCUGCAUGGCUGUCGUCAGCUCGUGCCGUGAGGUGUUCGGUUAAGUCCGAUAACGAGCGCAACCCUCGUUGCUAGUUAUACUUCUCUAGCGAGACCGCUGGCAUAUAACCAGAGGAAGGCGGGGAUGACGUCAAGUCAGUAUGGCCUUUAUGUCCAGGGCUACACACACGCUACAAUGGCCGGUACAGAGGGUCGCGAAGCCGCGAGGCGGAGCCAAUCCCACAAAGCCGGUCUCAGUUCAGAUUGCAGGCUGCAACCCGCCUGCAUGAAGUUGGAGUUGCUAGUAACCGCAGGUCAGCAAUACUGCGGUGAAUACGUUCCCGGGUCUUGUACACACCGCCCGUCACGUCAUGGGAGCUGGCAACACCUGAAGUCGGCGAGCUAUCCGAGAGGAGGCAGCCGCCUAAGGUGGGG
This 1346-nucleotide ribosomal RNA is filed under the name uncultured organism. RNAcentral's name for it is "bacterial SSU rRNA". It matches the Rfam family "Bacterial small subunit ribosomal RNA", at positions 92 to 1467 of the family's 1533-position model. The record is from RNAcentral.